ACAGAGGGUGCAAGCGUUAAUCGGAAUUACUGGGCGUAAAGCGCGCGUAGGCGGCUGUCUAAGUCGGGUGUGAAAGCCCCGGGCUCAACCUGGGAACUGCAUUCGAUACUGGACGGCUAGAGUAUGAGAGAGGGAGGUAGAAUUCCACGUGUAGCGGUGAAAUGCGUAGAUAUGUGGAGGAAUACCGGUGGCGAAGGCGGCCUCCUGGUUCAAUACUGACGCUGAGGUGCGAAAGCGUGGGGAGCAAACAGGA
RNAcentral lists this ribosomal RNA (253 nucleotides) under uncultured prokaryote. Its description in RNAcentral is "partial 16S ribosomal RNA". It matches the Rfam family "Bacterial small subunit ribosomal RNA", at positions 525 to 777 of the family's 1533-position model. The record is from RNAcentral.